This 113-nucleotide non-coding RNA is filed under the name uncultured Faecousia sp. RNAcentral describes it as "FMN riboswitch (RFN element)". It matches the Rfam family "FMN riboswitch aptamer (RFN element)". From Rfam's summary of the family: The RFN element is a highly conserved domain that is found frequently in the 5'-untranslated regions of prokaryotic mRNAs that encode for flavin mononucleotide (FMN) biosynthesis and transport proteins. This element is a metabolite-dependent riboswitch that directly binds FMN in the absence of proteins. The record is from RNAcentral. Lineage: Bacteria; Bacillati; Bacillota; Clostridia; Eubacteriales; Oscillospiraceae.
UAUCUUCAGGGCGGGGCGCAAUUCCCCACCGGCGGUAAAGUCCGCGAGCGCGCGCAAGCGUGCCGAAUCGGUGAAACUCCGAUACCGACAGUAUAGUCUGGAUGGAAGAAGGU